This 429-nucleotide ribosomal RNA is filed under the name Chloroflexota bacterium. Its description in RNAcentral is "Chloroflexi bacterium partial 16S ribosomal RNA". It matches the Rfam family "Bacterial small subunit ribosomal RNA", at positions 355 to 776 of the family's 1533-position model. Lineage: Bacteria; Bacillati; Chloroflexota. The record is from RNAcentral.
UGGGGAAUAUUGCACAAUGGGCGCAAGCCUGAUGCAGCCAUGCCGCGUGUAUGAAGAAGGCCUUCGGGUUGUAAAGUACUUUCAGCGGGGAGGAAGGGAGUAAAGUUAAUACCUUUGCUCAUUGACGUUACCCGCAGAAGAAGCACCGGCUAACUCCGUGCCAGCAGCCGCGGUAAUACGGAGGGUGCAAGCGUUAAUCGGAAUUACUGGGCGUAAAGCGCACGCAGGCGGUUUGUUAAGUCAGAUGUGAAAUCCCCGGGCUCAACCUGGGAACUGCAUCUGAUACUGGCAAGCUUGAGUCUCGUAGAGGGGGGUAGAAGUCCAGGUGUAGCGGUGAAAUGCGUAGAGAUCUGGAGGAAUACCGGUGGCGAAGGCGGCCCCCUGGACGAAGACUGACGCUCAGGUGCGAAAGCGUGGGGAGCAAACAGG